UCCGUUUGGCUUACCGCAACUGAAAAAACGAAAAAUCGAAACACCCAGCAUGGCAACGGUGGCAAAAAGCUUCUCGAAAACCUUAGAGACUCUAGAAGAUAAGCGCCGAAAAAAGACAGAAGAAUCAAAACCAUUGCUUCUUCCACAGAAGAAGCGCGUUUUACCUCCUACUAAUUCACCUAGUAGAUUAAAGAAAAGUCCAAAAUUAGACGAAAACGCUGCAGAAGAAACAAUAAUUAGAGAGACAGAGGCUGCUUUAAAAAAUUUAUCAGGUAGUUGGCCUGGACCAAGGGGAGGAUACCCGCAUCAAGUGGAUACGCCAACAUUCGAAAAUCUAUUUGAUGAAAAAAAGGCGUCUGUUAAAAUGUCACCAACUUCCAGUUCAAACAGCAGUAGCGACAAUGCUUCGUCUGUUAAAGAUGUUAUCACACUAAGAGAACAACACGAACAUGAAGAAACUUUCGAUGAAAAGUCAGGUAGUACGAACGGCAAAAGUAGCCCGAGAUCGACUGAUAGUAAACCAAAAAGUAGUAAAAUUCAAUAUUCGUCACCAGACUUUAACGAAUUGGUCGAUGAUUCUUCUAAUGAAUUAGAGAUUGAUAUGUCAGAAGCUGCUGCAGAGAAAAACGAAUCUAGCGGAAAACAAGAACAAGAAAAACGAAAAGAUCCUAAAUAUCCCUCCAGUAAUUCUUCGUUUCAUGCUUUUUCUCGCUCAUCUCCAUUUUCCACUACCUCUGCAUUUAGGCCUCCACAAUCUAAAAACCCUCCACUUGGUCCAUUUCCUGCAGAAGCUACUUUUGUUGGUUAUCCAGAAGGAGCACCAGUGGAGGAAAAGAAAAUAAUAGUUCCAUUGAAACCGUCAGAUAGCCAAACAGAAAUACAAAAGAGUCCCGAAGGUGUCAACAAACAGUAUACUAUUUUACAACCAGCAGGAGUUGGAUCUAGAGCAGCUACUACAAUGCAAGAAGUAGCUAGAGAAGGAGUUCCAAGUGUAUCAGCGGUUAGUGGGAACCCAGGAACUGAAAAUACGGGGAAAAUAACAACCACCACUAUUGCACCAGGAACACUAUCACCAAAUAGUAUUGGUAGGGAGGGAAGCAAAUGCCCCACCCCGGGUUGUACGGGUCAAGGACACGUCACGGGACUUUAUUCACACCACAGAAGUCUUUCUGGAUGUCCGAGAAAGGACAAAGUUACACCAGAAAGUGGUUGUCAAACUGAGUUUUCUCCCAGCUACGAAGGAAAAAGGACUCCGACGUCAGAGGACGUUAAACCCAACUACUUAGUAAACUACGGAAAUCCACCCCCGCCUACAUCUUCUUCUUCAUCGGAAGAGAUUAAACCAAACUACGACCAAUACUACAGCAAACCCACACCAGUCAAACCCGAUCCUAUGAAAAUUCCCAAAACUGAAGUUACGACCACCAGUUGUUGUAGUGUCAGUGCUCAAGGGGAAUUAUUAGUACCAAAAACAGAAAUGCCCAGUUCUUGUAGGUCGCCCCCUUCAGGAAUAAGGUCAGCAUACGAACCGUAUAUGAAUCAAGACUCAAAUUCAUCGUCUAUGUCCAGUAUGGACGCCAUGAACUCAAGGAAUCAACACCAAAUACACCAUAAUACAUCUCAUAUGGGACCUCAUCAUAAUCCACAACAACCUGGGUACAGUAUGGAACACCAAAUGCCUCAUAGGUCUCCGUACCACCAGUCGCCUAUGUCAGAGGAGAUGUAUACCAGGGAGCGAUCGUACGCAGAGAUGAACGAACCCAUAGGUCCAAACAGUAUUGCAAGACCAGUAGUCACAUAUUCUAAUGAAAUAGCAAGGCCUUACGAAUCAGGUUUAAUAAAUUCUGCAGGACACCGACCGUAUGAUCCUGGUACCAACAGUUUUGAAAGAUACGAUUCCAGCCAAUGUGUGUCUCUUCAACAGCCCUUGGGUCCUGCAAGGGUGCCACCGCAGGGUAUGUACGGAUAUAUCGAUGAUCAACAGGAACAGAGGUACCAACAGGAGGCUGCAGCAGCGCAACAGCAUCAAAUUGCAGUUGCUAAUGCCCAAAGUAUGAUGAAGACAGAAGAACCUGAAUCAACUGGACCGUUAUAUCCAAGACCAAUGUAUCAGUAUGAUGCCUCCAGCGGAGCUCCCCUUCCAGUUGGCUUUUCAGCAAUUAACUUAUCUGUGAAAUGUGUGACAACGGCUCACGCUGCUCAAAUGAAGGGUCCGCACACGUCCCCAGGGGGCACCGUUAUCGAUUUGUCGACGUCCAGUGUCACCACUACUAGUCCACAGGUAGCGUACAGCUCGCCGCAUUAUGGAGGAGCAGGCCAAAGGGUCGGAGGCAGCCCCCAAGCGGCGGCGAGUCCGCACCUUUCGGCAAGUCCGCAAGUCCCGAGUCCUCAGGGACAAACGCUGGACCUCAGCAUUAGUAGGUUGUCUCACAGUGGGGUACGACCUGUAGCGUCAUUUGCAUCAACGCCUGGAGGAGGACCAGUACUAGCUCCUGGUGCAGGAUAUAGCAGAGAAUCAACUCCUGACAGUGGCGGAAGUCAUUAUAUGGAUGCUUACCGGGAUCCUGCAGGUUAUGGUCCUAUGAGUCCCCAUCCUGGAUAUGGUAUGACGACAGUAGCCAGUGAUUAUGCCUCAAACCCCUACUCACCUUACCCACCAAGUGGAUACUCAUGUGCCGGUGGAUAUCCUGGACCCGUUACAACAGGUUACCCAGUUCCCCCAGGCGGUUAUUCACCAAGUACUUGUUAUUCCAUGCCACCGCCCCAACACUCAUUAUCGCAACAUGAUAAGUCGCCCAACAAGGACAGUCUGUCAGGAUGUCCACGAGCGGAUCGUUCACAAAUUCAACCCCAUUCUCAAGAACUGAAAUGCCCAACGCCGGGAUGCGACGGUUCAGGUCACGUCACAGGCAAUUACAGUUCACACAGAAGUUUAUCUGGAUGUCCUAGAGCUAACAAACCAAAGAGUAAGCCCAGAGAUGGCCAGGACUCCGAACCCCUGAGAUGCCCGAUACCGGGCUGUGAUGGAUCUGGCCAUGCAACUGGAAAAUUUUUAUCACAUAGAAGCGCGUCUGGAUGCCCUAUAGCAAACAGAAACAAAAUGAGAGUUUUGGAGAGCGGUGGAUCCGUUGAGCAACACAAAGCUGCCGUGGCUGCUGCAACGGCAAUGAAGUUCGAAGGGGUUAACUGCCCAACGCCGGGGUGUGACGGAACUGGACAUAUAAACGGUUCUUUUUUAACGCAUCGGUCCCUCAGUGGAUGUCCUGUAGCGGGUCAGACAGUGAAGAAGUCCAAAUAUCCGGAGGAUAUGCCUUUUUAUACUAAGGGAUAUACAGACGUCUUCUUGCAGGUAUAGAACAGGGACCUAAUGGCGGAGAAGACCUUAUGACCUUGGAGGCGGAGAUAUCCGAAUUACAAAGAGAAAAUGCAAGAGUUGAGUCUCAGAUGAUCAAACUGAAAUCGGAUAUAAACGCAAUGGAAAAUCACUUGGGCCAAAACGAAAAAGAAACCCAGGCGCUAUCGCAACGUUCCAACAACCUGAACGAGUACUACGAGAGUCUACGUAACAAUGUCAUUACACUUCUGGAGCAUGUUCGACUGCCCGGUG
This 3607-nucleotide unclassified non-coding RNA is filed under the name Diabrotica virgifera virgifera (western corn rootworm). Its description in RNAcentral is "myelin transcription factor 1". The record is from RNAcentral. Lineage: Eukaryota; Metazoa; Arthropoda; Insecta; Coleoptera; Chrysomelidae.